This 73-nucleotide transfer RNA is filed under the name Gemmatimonadota bacterium. RNAcentral's name for it is "Gemmatimonadetes bacterium tRNA-Lys". It matches the Rfam family "tRNA". From Rfam's summary of the family: Transfer RNA (tRNA) molecules are approximately 80 nucleotides in length. Their secondary structure includes four short double-helical elements and three loops (D, anti-codon, and T loops). The record is from RNAcentral. RNAcentral also lists the same sequence under 1 other name. Lineage: Bacteria; Pseudomonadati; Gemmatimonadota.
GCCCCGCUAGCUCAAUUGGUAGAGCAGCUGACUCUUAAUCAGGAGGUUCUAGGUUCGAGUCCUAGGCGGGGCA